Molecule: ribosomal RNA, 432 nt
Filed under: uncultured bacterium
Lineage: Bacteria
Description: partial 16S ribosomal RNA
Rfam family: Bacterial small subunit ribosomal RNA
Source: RNAcentral
ACGAACGCUGGCGGCAUGCCUAACCCAUGCAAGUCGAACGAGACCUUCGGGUCUAGUGGCGCACGGGUGCGUAACGCGUGGGAACCUGCCCUUAGGUUCGGAAUAACUCCCCGAAAGGGGUGCUAAUACCGGAUAAUGUCUUCGGACCAAAGAUUUAUCGCCUUUGGUUGGGCCCGCGUUGGAUUAGCUAGUUGGUAGGGUAAAAGCCUACCAAGGCGACGAUCCAUAGCUGGUCUGAGAGGAUGAUCAGCCACACUGGGACUGAGACACGGCCCAGACUCCUACGGGAGGCAGCAGUGGGGAAUAUUGGACAAUGGGCGAAAGCCUGAUCCAACAAUGCCGCGUGAGUGAUGAAGGCCUUAGGGUUGUAAAGCUCUUUUACCCGGGAUGAUAAUGACAGUACCGGGAGAAUAAGCUCCGGCUAACUCCGUG